This is a non-coding RNA of Epinephelus lanceolatus (giant grouper), 1711 nucleotides long. Lineage: Eukaryota; Metazoa; Chordata; Actinopteri; Perciformes; Serranidae. The record is from RefSeq and is a predicted model, not a curated record.
GUAAUCACAAUAUACUUAAGAAAUUACAAAGAAAUAAACAGUCAGAACAUUGAGGUGUCAUGAGGGUCCUCGCCGCUGUGUGAUGUGAUCAAGAAAUGGUUGCCAUAUCUGAUGAAAUCUAUUAGAUUUCCCUGAUAUCUUAAAUCGAAUUUUCUCCAUAUACAAGGUGCUUGAGAGCUCCGUGAGCCAGGCUUCAAAACUUGGAGGUAUCUCUUUGUUCCAGACUUUAAGAAUAAUUUUCUUAGCAAUGACCAUCCCAUACUGGAUUGACAAAACCUUCCAGUCUCUAAGAGUCUCGAGCUGUUGAGACCAGCCAAGAAUUCCUGUCUCUGAGUCUGGAGGAAGAUCAUAUCAUUAAACCUCAGAGUAAAAAUGGAAAACCUCACAUUAAAAUCUGUGGAGUUUAGUGCAGAACCAAAACAUAUGUGCCAGUGUGCCCUUGGACUGUUUGCAUUUUACUCAUAGUGGUGAAGAGGAUGAAAAAAAUGAAUGCAGUUUAACACGUGAAUAAUGGCGUCUAUGUAUAACCUUAUAUUGAAUUAGCUGGUGUCUUGAAUUAAUUGAACAUGUGUGUAUGCUACGAAGACAUUCACACCAUGCAUCUUCUGAGAUGACGGUGCCUAUUUCCCUCUCCCAGCACUCUCUCAGGUGUUGUGUACUUGGAGCAGUUUGAGCCACAAACACAUUUACAAACAUAGACACUAGCCUUUUGGACUCAGGUUCUUUUGUUAGAAGAGAAUAGACUUCGUCAGGGGAAUUAUAAAUUUCAAACUUUGAAAUGCUUACUCUAGCAUAGUUCCUGACUUGUAAAUACCUGAAAAAAUGAGAUGGUUGCAAUUCAAAUUUGUCUUAAAGUUGAUCAAAUGAGGAAAAAGCAUUGUCAAUAUACAAGUCUUUCACAGUGACCAGGCCUUUCCCUUUCCAGACAGAGAAAACAGGAUCCAAUUAAGAAGGAUGAAAUGUAUGAUUGUGACAAAUGGGGACAAAAAUAGAAGUGUUUGUUAGUUUAAAUAUUUUUUUUAAUUUGGCACCACACCCUUAAUGAGUUUUCUACUAUAAAUCCAAUCCCUUUAAAUGGUCCAGGGCUUCUCUGUUACCCCUUUUCCACCAAAGCUGGUGCUGGUUCUCAGUUGGUUCAACUUGCGCACCAGCUGAGAACCAAUUUGCUUUUCCACGGCUUGAGGUGGUUAGGGUGCCACGUCAUUGUGUCACUGUAUACGUCAGAUACGUCGAACAACAACAACAACGACGGCGGACCACGUACUUGUGCAGCUGUUACUCCUGGCUCUACGAGGCUUCAUCGGCGUUCCAAACACGGCAGAUACAUCGUAUUUGUGCUGCUUGACAAGAUUCGUAUGGACGGCAAUUAUGCUCCCGAAGACAGAGCUGGAUCAUGAAGCCCUUUGCGGACACUGGCAGAUUGAGCCCUGAGCAACACACAUAUAACUACAGAUUAAGCAGUGCACAGUCACUUGUGGAAAUGGCUUUUGGGAGAUUGAAAAGACGGUGGAGGUGCCUCCUAAAAACCUGCCAUUCAAAUGUUUGUUUUAUUUAGUUCUGGCUGUGUAUGAUACACAUGUUUUGGCUGCUACUCUCCAUUGUUUUUGCUGUUUUGUUGCUGCUUACCUGACUACUUUUACCUGUGUUUGCUGGACUACUUCAUGUCACCAAUAUUGUUUCAUCCUUCAGUUCAAUAAAUUCAUAGAAAUGA